UCCAACGCGCCCUACUGACUUCCCACUGGUCAGUGACAACUUGUCGUUCGUUGAGUGGACUUUGAUUCGUCAAUACGGUGUUUAUUACUUUCACGUGUCAUCAAUUCUUUUUCUUUCUCGUUUCCGGUCCACUGUUUUCACAUACGCAGUGCGAUUACACAACUUAUUGCUACAGUUCAUGUUCAUAUACUCAACCAACGUUUUAUAAAUGCUGUGAAAUACGAGGGAAUUCAAGUGCUGAAUAUAGGUUAGGUUUCGAACGGAUUGUACGAUUUCCAAUUAACAACGCAAACCAGAUAUCGCUGAAACGUUAGUUAACAAAAGGAAGGAAAGUCUCCAAGUUGACGAAGAAGGCUGCUGGAGCUGCAGUUUCGACUAUACGUACAUGGUGACCGUAUAAAUCACGUCCAUACACGAGAUGAAGCUCAGCGGCUCGACUGACCGCCCCGUUUUCUGAUUUACGACCCGAACUUCGUCCCCAGUCUUAUCUUCCUAGAUAUUUUCGCCGGUGAAAAACCAUCCACGCCAGCUUACUCGAAAAUUACUCGCACGCAAAUAUCUUGAUUUUCCC
Molecule: long non-coding RNA, 571 nt
Organism: Eufriesea mexicana
Lineage: Eukaryota; Metazoa; Arthropoda; Insecta; Hymenoptera; Apidae
Exons: 3
Source: RefSeq, a predicted model, not a curated record